AGAGUUUGAUCAUGGCUCAGAACGAACGCUGGCGGCGUGGAUAAGACAUGCAAGUCGAACGGGACUUGCUCUGUAGCAAUACAGAGUAAGUCCAGUGGCGCAAGGGUGCGUAACACGUGGGGAAUCUGCCGAGAAGUGGGGGAUAGCUCGCCGAAAGGCGAAUUAAUACCGCAUGUGACCAGGGUUGACAUCAACCUGACGUCAAAGCCGGGGCAACCUGGCGCUUCUUGAUGACCCCGCGGCCUAUCAGCUUGUUGGUGAGGUAACGGCUCACCAAGGCUAUGACGGGUAGCUGGCCUGAGAGGACGACCAGCCACACUGGAACUGAGACACGGUCCAGACACCUACGGGUGGCAGCAGUCGAGAAUUUUUCUCAAUGGGGGCAACCCUGAAGGAGCGACGCCGCGUGGAGGAUGAAGGUCUUCGGAUUGUAAACUCCUGUCAUUCGAGAACAAGGUGCAUUCGUUAACUGCGGGUGCAUUGAUAGUAUCGGAAGAGGAAGAGACGGCUAACUCUGUGCCAGCAGCCGCGGUAAUACAGAGGUCUCAAGCGUUGUUCGGAUUCAUUGGGCGUAAAGGGUGCGUAGGUGGUGCUGUAAGUCAGGUGUGAAAUCCCGGGGCUCAACCCCGGAACUGCACUUGAUACUGCAGUGCUCGAGGACUGGAGAGGAGAUCGGAAUUCAUGGUGUAGCAGUGAAAUGCGUAGAUAUCAUGAGGAAGACCAGUGGCGAAGGCGGAUCUCUGGACAGUUCCUGACACUGAGGCACGAAGGCCAGGGGAGCAAACGGGAUUAGAUACCCCGGUAGUCCUGGCAGUAAACGGUGCACGUUUGGUGUGAGCGGAUUCGACCCCGCUUGUGCCGGAGCUAACGCGUUAAACGUGCCGCCUGGGGAGUACGGUCGCAGAUUAAAACUCAAAGAAACUGACGGGGCCCGCACAAGCGGUGGAGUAUGUGGCUUAAUUCGAUGCAACGCGAAGAACCUUACCAAGCCUUG
RNAcentral lists this ribosomal RNA (994 nucleotides) under uncultured bacterium. RNAcentral's name for it is "bacterial SSU rRNA". It matches the Rfam family "Bacterial small subunit ribosomal RNA", at positions 8 to 983 of the family's 1533-position model. The record is from RNAcentral.